Molecule: long non-coding RNA, 2701 nt
Filed under: Sus scrofa (pig)
Lineage: Eukaryota; Metazoa; Chordata; Mammalia; Artiodactyla; Suidae
Description: lncRNA (ENSSSCG00035018795.1)
Source: RNAcentral
CCCUUGCUCCCUGCUGUUUACUCUCGCUCUCCUUCUUCCCUGUCGCAGUUUCUGUCUGCCUUCUCUCCUGCUCCCUUGCUUCGACAGGCUGGGCGAGUGGCAGCGUCUGGGUCCCCCGGGCCACUCGGAGUGUACCCCGCCCCAGGCCGCGCGAUGUGAACCCGUGCCGAACGCGCCAAGACCUCCAUCUCAUCCCUAGAUGGCAGCAGGAUUCUGAAGCUGGCGCAGCCCUCGGCAGCCCUUCUGGUCUGUGUUCCUGAACAGAUUGCCAGGGGAUACGGUGGCUAAACAGCCCGGCGCCUCCCCGGAGUGCAGGUCAAGCAGAAGAGCAAGCUGGACAGAUGCAGCUGGCGGGGCCUCUGGGGUCGGAUGCUGAAGCUUCGGACACCACAUCCUCUCAGCACACAGAUGUGCAGAGUGAAGACAACAGGGAAACCCAAAGCUGACCUACAGUGGUCAGGGAAGAAUCCCAGGAAUGUGCCUUCCCAGUAUACAGCCAUAGUUCCUGACCUACAAAUGAUGUUGAUUUUAUCGGACUCAAACUACUCUGUUGGACCCACAGGAGGUCUGACUUCUAUUCGAGGACCGUUUUGCUAUCACCUGGCUCCUCUGGUCUGGAAUCACCCCAGAGCCUUUCCUCUGUGACCUCCACUCCCUUCAUCUUUUGCUUCCUUAUAUCCUCGGAUUUUCUGACUUGACUUAGUUUCAUGGUUCUAUACCCUAAAGGAAAGAUGCCCUGAGUCCCAGAUUUACCCAGUUGCCUCUGGUGAACACUGGCCUCUCACUUUUAUUCGUAUUUUUGGAAUGCCUGUGUCAAUAUUCUUUCCCCUGAAGAAGUAGAAAUGAGAGGGCAAGGAAGAGGGAAGGCUGAUCGUUUCAAGUGGCAACAGACAGAGAGACAGAAAGAGAAAAGAGAGAGAACAAGAUUGUGAAAGCAUGUGAUGACAGGAGUUACUUUAAUCACAAAAGACAAACUGAAAUGCGUGUGUGUGUUUAUUUUUAUUAAAAAAAUAUAAUUUUAUCCAUAGUAUUAUUGUCUGGAAUUAUGUAGACUUGAAUGUAGACACUUAGAAUCACUCACAUAAAAUUAUAACAUUUUAUUGGAGAGUAAAAAAAUAACCUCUUUUCUUUAAUAAGAGACAUCUCCCAAAACAUGAGUCUACACUUUCAAGAAUGUGGGCAAAGCCCCUUGUAAAAAUCCUCAUGUUCAAAAGAAAUUAAUUAUUGCAGGAAACCAGCAUAAAUAUAGACCUACUGACUUACAGAGCCCAUGGUUCUCAAUGCAGAUCUUUUGAAAUCCUACUUCUGCUUCUCAUCCCUACUCAGAGGCUACUUCCUCCCUAAGGCUUUUCCGACCAUCCUCCAACCUCUGAAGUCCUUGAAUAUGCUGUGCCAUUCUUAAGACCUUGAUCAUGAAUUACUUUGUAUUGUAGCUGCUUUUGUUCAUUAAUAGUUCUCCUUGAGAUAGUUAUAAUUUCUAAAUAGAAUUCACUGGCGCUCCAUAUUUGACUAUAUAAUAGACGUACAAUUAGCUAAAGGAUUUGUUAAAUUUAUUUUUGAAAUGUCGAUUUUUUUAGACACUCAUACUGGGAAAUGGGAUCAGUGCUUCACAUAACUCCUUUAAAAGCUAAUCAUUUUAGUGACAAUGUCAGUCAAUUAACCUUUAUAGCUAUUGAGGCCAUUACUACUGUAUCUUAACAAAAUGAAUGUGAGUGAUCAGAUGUUCUCCUUUAAGAAAAUCUUCCCAACAGAAGUGGCUCAGUUAUUUCAAUAGAAGUAAUAGACAGUGUUCUGGAGUAAGAAACAGAAUUAAGAGCCUAACUACACUAUUACUAUAAAGUAGUAGCCUAUAUAAUUUAUUGAAUUGUUGUGUUUCAAUGAGCAUGACUUUUCAACUGUGUGUAACUGUGAUUAUAACAUUGAUUUGUGUUUUAUUUUAAUUUGAAGCAAUUAUAUAUUAAGAGGUAUUAUACAGGAUGCUGUGAGCAGACUGGUGUGGAUUUUGGCAAAGGCACAUUUGUAAGAUGAGGUUGUGAUUUUAUUAUUGUGCUGUACUCCAAGACCUAAGACUUAAUGGAAAUAACUUUAAUUUAUUAAAAUAAAAUAAAUCUAAUCUAUCUCCCUACUACUUUCCUGAAGUGGUCACAUAUAUAGGAUGGAAUAAGGACCACACAAAAAGGGAAUACCAAUUGAAAAGAAUAAUGAAAGAAAAAUUUGAGAAACUCUCAUUUGGUAAAUUUGUCACUAAAUAUUUACUGGUUGCGUACUUUGACAUUUAUCGUUGUACUUCAUAUCAUGUGUGUUGCUAGGAAGAAAGAGAAAAAGGUUCUACCUUCAAAAAUCUGUAACAUUUUUAUGGUUUUGAUAUAGACAGAGAGUAUUCGAUUACGUUUACAUCAUGCAAGAAAAAGAGGUAGAAGGAAGCUAAUGUUAGUUGAGCACAUACUGUGUGCCAGGAAAAAAAAAGUGACCAUUUAUUUACACACCUGCCAUAAGUUAAUUUUAUACCUGAGGAAACUGCAACUCAAGAGUUAGAAGAAAAGUUGUUCAGAUUCACAAAGCUCAACUUUUCUCCUCCACCAGAUUGUCUCAGUUUAAGGGCUAAAACUCUGCAGAGAGCAAAGUGGGAGAUACCAUGCACACUUAUGGUAGCCAGACCUGAAUAUGAUCCUACAUCAUUGUUUUCUCAAAAAAAAAAAAA